This 544-nucleotide long non-coding RNA is filed under the name Calidris pugnax (ruff). RNAcentral's name for it is "lncRNA (ENSCPUG00000002758.1)". Lineage: Eukaryota; Metazoa; Chordata; Aves; Charadriiformes; Scolopacidae. The record is from RNAcentral.
CUUACAGCUGUAAGAACUACACAUAUUCUCUACACAUAUCUCUAACUACACAUAUUCUUUUAGGAUUAAUUUAAUUAUUUGUGCAUCAUUAGUCACUACAGUUUCUUUAUCUGUUGACAGCCACCAUUCAACGCAUCAAGUAACUGUAGUCCAUCAUCAUAAUCACUAUUAUGAUUCCAUCACCAGGAUGUAUUCAUCAGAACUGCUUUCAAACACAGUGAAAGAGGAAGGACAACUGGCUCCAAGAUUCUAAAGAGAAGAAACUUUCUUGCUGAAACAGUACCUCUUUUGCAAGAAGCUUCCCUUUCAUUUUAUAAGACGCCAUUCUAAAAUAGGAGCAGAACUCAGAAAACUGACUGCUGCUCUCCUGCUCUUACACACGAGCAAAUUGCUGUCUUUUACAUCUGGUACAUUGUACUACAUCUUCAAGUGAUGUGAUUCAUGUCACUUUCCAAAGGACGGUAAGAUGAUCUUUGUUUCUAGUGGCACCAUCAAAGCAAGAACAGGCUUUUAUUAAUUUAAUAAAGGCUGAGCAGAUGCUACA